GUGAUCUGACCUGAUCCAGGAACCAGUCGGGUCGACUGCCGGAGCCAUCGAUGCGAAGCCUCAUUUUCCUCAGUGGAGCGACGUCAUCGAUCUCCAUGUUGAAAGUGUCCUCCUGACCGCGCUCGAACCUGUUGUGGAACACAUAGAGGACACAGAGUUUAUGAGCAUCUCCUCCGUGCUGCCGUUGGCUCCGAAUACAGACAUGAAGAUCAGGGUGUCUGUUCCUGCGUCCUGCACGUCCCCCGUUACUACGGUAACCUCGUAAAUAAUCUGAUGGGAAUAUAUUAGACGUUAAGUUAAAUCAAAUAACAUUAUAUUUAUAGUUAUAUUUCUAAGUAACAUAAAUAGAUAUGAAGACAAAGGACAACCAUUUAAUGGAAUAAAUGAACCUCAAAUAUGUCAAUUUUGAUGCAUAUUCUUAGCUGAACAACUUAAUCAUUACACACCACAUUACGGAUAUCUAAAUACCUGCUGGGAGAUGGAAAUGGCCUCUGCAUCCAGCACGCUGAACACUCGAGCAGUCAGACCAUCUCCUCGAUCUUUGGCC
Gasterosteus aculeatus aculeatus (three-spined stickleback) is the source of this 547-nucleotide long non-coding RNA. The record is from Ensembl. Lineage: Eukaryota; Metazoa; Chordata; Actinopteri; Perciformes; Gasterosteidae.